This is a non-coding RNA of Homo sapiens (human), 69 nucleotides long. The record is from Rfam. Lineage: Eukaryota; Metazoa; Chordata; Mammalia; Primates; Hominidae.
GCCUCCCGUGCCUACUGAGCUGAAACACAGUUGGUUUGUGUACACUGGCUCAGUUCAGCAGGAACAGGG